UGCCUGAGUUUUAACAAGUCCCUAACCUGCUGUCUGGAAACGUGUCACAGGCAGAGCAUUUAGAAAUGUUAAGCCUAGCAUCAUCUCAGCAGAUGUUAGCGCUUGGAGGCUAGCAGUGGCAUUUGUAGGACCUAUCAUUUGGGAUGACAAAGAAAUUGUGAGUGGGGAGGGGGUGAGUCACUGGUCUUAAAAAACACCCCCGUACCUGCUGAAAAGGACGGUUAAUAAUACUACAGACACUUCAAGCAAUGUGCUGGAUUCUCCUUCCCAGCGAUUUUUAGUAGUCUCAGAUCUAAGAUGUUCCACCGAGUGUAAAUAUAGCUGUUUAUGCAUGUGUGAGUGUGAAGCUAAAGCAGAGAGUGUGUUGACAUUUCCCACACUUGACUGGACACAUACGCAAACAGGGAUGGGAUGUUGUCCUCAUGCCCUGUUGUAAGCCCCACAGAAACUGGUCACCGUUGGGCCGGCAUCACCCCAAAGAGCAAAUGCAACAUGAAAAGGUAUUUGUCAGGUGCCCAAAUUUCUACAGGAAUAAGGCCUGUCUGAUCUCAGCCUGGCGGGAGUUCCAUAGAAUCAUGUCCGCAAUACUGAAUCUAUAGCUUUUGGUGAAUAUGAACCACCAUGGGGGGGGGGAACCACUAACAGAAACUCUCCUGAGAAAUGUGGAGAUUGGUAUGAGGGACCAGGUAAUGAUGAACAACAGACUCAUUGAUGAGGUGGUGAGGAUUUGAGGCAGUUGUCAUUCAUUUCUUCCUCCUGGACACCCGAUGUGUUUCUAGAUUCACUGAUGAAAUACCAGGUUGUGAUAGUGGCUAAAGUGCCUUCUAGAUAAACAAACCACUGCAUCUGACAAUUGUGCCUGUACCAUUUCAAGAUGAGACUUCUAAUCUCUGGAGGCCACAUGAACUGGAAGAAUUUAAGAGCAAAAUGCAUAUAAGAAUGAAAGAAGAGUCCUAACGGAUCAGGUUAAUGGCCCAUCUAGGGAAGCUUCCUGGCUUCAACCAGUAAGCAGCCAAAUGUUUCUGGAAGCACCUACUGAAGACCUUUCUCUUUCAACAAGCCUUUUAAAAGUUGUGUCUUUCCCCUGUCUGCACCUGCAUUGGAAUGGUUUUUAGACUACCUGCGUCAUGGAGAAGGUGAACUUGAACACCUUUCUUUUUCUGGGGAGGGGGUGGAGGGGAGAGAGAGAGAAAGAGAGAGAGUGUGUGUUUAUUCAACUUUUUUUUUAAAAAAAAGCUUUGCAAUUUUAUUUAAAGUGACCCUAAGAUGUAUCUAAUUACUUUGCAAGGCUUGCUCACUGCUGCCACAUGCUUGCUGUCCAGAGGGGCUACAGCACAACAAAAGGGGGACAGAAAAGUUGCCAGAAUAUUUGUGGCAUGCAAAGUUACAGGAUUUCAGAAGAUAGUUAUGGGACAUGCACUGAUUGAAAGGUAAGGAGUGUGAGCAUCCCAAAACUGUUGUAGUUGCAAACAGUAUGGAAGCGAGGUCAUGUAUGACUGUCUCGAUAGAGUCACGUACAGUGGUACCUCUGGAUACGAACGGGAUCCGUUCCGGAGCCCCGUUCACAUCCAGAAGCAAACGUAAGUAGCGAUGGCUCGUCUGCGCAUGUGCGUGACGUCAUUUUGAGCAUCUGCGCAUGCACAAGCAGCAAAACCUGGAACCAAGGCGCUCUGUUACUUCCGGGUUGCCGCAGAGCGCAACUCGAACGCGCUCAACCCAAAGCACAUUCAACCUGAGGUAUGACUGUACACAAAUUGUCAUGAAUGCACCACAAAAAGGAUGUCUGGAGAGUUCCUGGGGGAAAAGUGCUCUAGGAAUGUUUCUGUGUUUUCUUACUGUGAUGAUGAAUCUGCUGCAACACGAUCCAAUAAAUAUAGUAGGUAAAUGGUUAACAUUUCCCUUUUAGAUAUACACAGCAUAUUACAAUUAUUACAGUAUCAUCAUCAUCAUUAUCCUUCAAAGAGUAGUAGAAGAGACUUGACUAGCAGCCAAAAACAUUUCCUUGGAUCUGAACCCAGUCUCUCCACUCUAACAAAACCUUAUCUCUCUUUGUGUCUUUCUGUGCUGACAAGUGACAGUGUUAAGUGCUUUAUGGAAGCCUCCUAAGCCCCAAGUGGACCAUUUCCAGACAUAACCCAAUCGCAUGCACAGGAAAGGUGGCAGGCACCACUUCCGAGCACUCUGCAGAUGUUCACACAUUAGAAUUAACUUGCAAUUAGGUACAUCGUAGAGCCACUUUAUGCUAUCAGCAGAAUAAAGUUGCAAUAAACUCCCCCUCCCUCCCUUCCUCCCCCCCACACCACUGAAAAAAUAAGUCUUCAGGCUCACCUUCUCUGUAACACAUUUUCCCCCUACAUGCAGGAUUUGAAAAUAAGAUAAAAUGAGGGAUCAUUCAAAGAUUUACUCCACCCCUUCAAAACUCAUACUUCUCUGAAUUUUGUGAUGCCAAUCUCCAUGUAUGAAAUGGGUAGAGGGGGCAAUGAGAGUAGGACUGAGGAGAGAGAAGGAGAAAGUUGAAGAAAUGGGCAACUGAAUGAUAGCCAAGUCAGGUUUUACAAGUCUGCAUUCACCAUACAGUGGAAGCGCAAAAUUGUAGCUUCCUAGAGUUCAAGGUUAGCUAAGUGUGGACAUCCAGACUAUGCUACAUUGUGGUGCCCAUCACCCCUAACUAUUGGCCAUGCUGAUUGGGAUUGAAGUCCAGCAACUUCUGGAGGGCCCAGGGGAUCCACAACCCUGCUAUAUGUAUUGCCAAAGUUUCCUGGACCACAUGGAAGCUGCUGUCACGAUGUUUGCGAGCCAAGUGAGUUGAUUCCUGGAAUGUAUAAUGCAGUUCACAAUCAAAAGGAGCAGCCGUGUCUGGGCGCAGAAAUCAGGACCAUGGCACAUGAGGUGUGGUGGUGGGGCGGGGCCAGUCCUUUCCCUCCAUGCUGCUGUCCCAAUAAAAACUGCCCCACCUCCACAGUGCUGUGAUUCACCCUUGUAGGGGAGCUGCCAUUGUAUACUGUAAUGCCUGGGUACGGCGGCAGCAUCAGCACAUGACGCCUUAUCAGGGGCAUUAGCAGCCCCGUUUUCAAUGUAUAAACCCUGCAAAACCAUGUUGUCAGUGAGAGCUCAGCUAAGUGGCUUGAUUUCACUUAAAAAAUAACAACUCUCGGACCGCCUUGCACUACAUUGUGUAAGUACUAUAAGCUUCCCAUUUGAAAUUCCUGAGUAUUCCUUGCCACCUCCUCUUGUCUCAUGGAUGGCCCUGAAUUUCUCCCUGCCCUUUAGAAGAAGAUUCUGAUGAAUGUGUGACUGAGGGCUUUGUUCAACCCUAAAAAGGUAAAGGUAAAGGACUCUGGGGUUGCGGCACUCAUCUCGCUUUACUGGCCGAGGGAGCCGAUGUUUGUCCACACACAGUUUUUCUGGGUCAUGUGGCCAGCAUGACUAAGCUGCUUCUGGUGAAACCAGAGCAGCGCAUGGAAAUGCCGUUUACCUUCCUGCUGCAGUGGUACCUAUUUAUCUACUUGCACUUGACGUGCUUUCAAACUGCUAGGUUGGCAGGAGCAGGGACCGAGCAACGGGAGCUCACCCCAUCGCGUGUAUUCGAACCGCCGACCUUCUGAUUGGCAAGCCCUAGGCUCAGUGGUUUAGACCACAGCGCCACCCGUGUCUCUUGUUCAGCCCUAGUUAGAAGCUAUUUUUUAAGAAAGUGGCAAAACGACUCCUUCAGCCAGGAUAAGUCAUUUAAAUUUUAAGUUUAAUGCUGAGACUGAUUCCCCCUACCCCCACCACACAUCCAAGAAAUCUUAAAACUGUCUGUUUAAAUGGCAACCGUUGGCUGAUAUUUGUCUUGUUACCUUGUGAUACUGAAAAUAGCUUGUGUGAAAUAUGUUCUUGGAAUGUGGAGGUGGAUCAAACCAAAGCAACAUAAAAAAGAAGCUGGACACAUUUUAGUUCCUGUGGGUUGAACUGAGUCACUGCAAUCUGCAUAUGCUUAUUAAUUAGACCUGAGAGGAUGUGUUGAUCUUUCUUCACUGGUAGUUUGAUGUGUAUUCAAACCAGAGAAUGAAAACCUAGGAGCUAGAGAGAGUGCUCUGGUUUCUCACACCAAGAAAAGAAACAAACACCGCCUGAUUUGCUUCCGAAUGUUGUCUAGCAAGAAAAGAGGACAAGGGCUUCAGCAUUCACACCCAUUCUGAGCAUGCAUCUGAACAUGGGUGAUGUUUUCUUAUCAGCUCUGUCCUGAUGCAGCUAUAAAGUUGCUUCAGUGCACAAUGGCUGUGAUUCAGCACACGGAGAGGUGGUCAUGCAACAUCAACCUAGCCAAGCUCAGAGCUGGCUGCAAGAAAUUGCACUAUUACACGCAAAAUCAAAAUAAAGCUCAGUUCCUUUGAACCCAAUUCUCAUUCUAUUCCAGAUCCAUCACACCCGGUGAAAUCAAUAUUUUGUGGAGGGCUAUAGCUCAGUUGCAGAACAUCUACUUAACUGAAGAAAGUCACAGGUUCAAUCCCCAUCAUCUCCAGGGACGGCUGGGAGAGAAUCUUGCCUGAAAUUCUGGACCACUACCACCAGUCAGUGUAUAUAGCACUGAGCUAGAUGGACCAAUGGUCCGACUCAGUAUCAGGCAGCUUUCUAUGUUCCUGUGUAGCAGAGUGUAAUCUCCGUGAGCAUCCAACACAUCAUGGAAAUGGCUCAGUGGUGCUGGGAAAUUGAUGUGAUCUGCCACCCACUGAUUAUGGUAUGUAGCCAAAGCAAUGAUCCAUGUAUUAAAGAGUGAUGUAAGGAAAAUCUGGGGCGGUAAAUAAAGGUGAAGGGUGGGAGGGGGUUUGGAGACAAGCGGUGACUGGCUGGAUAGAAGGCAGAGUUGGAAGGAGGGCUUAAGUUCCUCUCUGGCUCAGAUUUAAAUCCAAGCCAGAGAAGAACUUUUGUGGUUGUAAUACCUGCUUUGUGUGAAGGCAAGUAUUGCAAGUCUAUUUGGAUGUGUCUCGCAAACUGUGUUUGGAUGACAUUUGGAUCCAUCACGAGUUGUAACAUGCUAGAAUUCUGCCUGUGUUAAAUUCUGGUAAAAAUGUGGGCUGACCAGUGAAAUGCCAAGUUCGAAUCCAGUUCAUGCAUAUACCAGUGUGAAACAUCAAACCAAAUAAUGACAAACACCAAGCAUUUUUAAAGCAAAAACUUCAUUAGUAC
RNAcentral lists this long non-coding RNA (5169 nucleotides) under Podarcis lilfordi (Lilford's wall lizard). The record is from RNAcentral. Lineage: Eukaryota; Metazoa; Chordata; Lepidosauria; Squamata; Lacertidae.